Molecule: long non-coding RNA, 1816 nt
Organism: Cyprinus carpio (common carp)
Lineage: Eukaryota; Metazoa; Chordata; Actinopteri; Cypriniformes; Cyprinidae
Source: Ensembl
GGCGUUUUGAAGGAUGACAUCAACAACAUGCUGUCCAGCUCCAUGUCAUAACAGAAAUGCGUUGACCUGGCUUCUAUGCCCAAACAUUGAUCAUGUGUCCUCUGCAUUGCAAAUUCUUGUUCACCUUGCUCAGGAGGACAAAGGUGAACUUGUCGAAAAGGUUCUUCAGCACUGCAACCCAGAAUUAUGCAUAGAUGCUCUUCGAAAACUGCUGAAGUCACCUGCCUCAUGGCUGAGUAGUACUGGAGCUUGUAUCUUUGGGGUCCUGCUGGAAAAUGAGUCCAUGGUGCUGAAACUUCAGAAGGGGACCAAAGGGGAAAGCAAUCUCAUAUGUGACCUUGUUCAGAUGUUUACUGAAGAUGAUCCUGAUGUUGUGAUGAAUGCUGCUGGAGCCAUAGCCUCAUUGGUUGAAACUACAUCAGGACGGACAUGGUUCCUUCAGAUCCAAAGUGUGUUCAGUGGGGUCCUUGAGAGCCUAUCAGUUCUUCUAGAGAAUGAGAGAGAGAAUACGGUUAACUCUGCAGCACUUAUUCUUGCACGACUGUCCCAGUGUGAAGAAACCUGUGAAAAGGUUUUAUCCCAUUCAUCUGCCUGCAAGAUCUUCAGAUGUUUAACACAAUGCUUGUCGUGUAGUCACAAAGACACAGCCAUGAAUGCGGCAUUUGCUGUUGGCCGUCUGUGUGGUAGCAAACAAGCCAAGAUCCUCAUUCUGAGAGUGGCCAAAGAGCAUCAGCUGGUUAGUCGCCUGCAGACUCUGCUGUUGAGUGGGUCAGGAGUGGAGAUGGGGCAAACAGUGUGCUUUGCUCUGAGCUGCUUAGCAAAUGAGGAAGAUGGCCAUGCUCUGCUGAUGGAAAGCACCUGUGUCCCUACAUUGCUGAAUGGUCUUUUACAGCUGUUGCAGAGCCCAGACCCAGACAGUAUCUGGUUUGCUGCUAUGACAGUACGAAUACUGGUUUCCCGGCCGAGUGGAGUGGUCCCUGUCAGGAUCCAUUGCUCUCUGCAUGAGCAGUUGAAGAUUCUCUCUAUGUCACCAUCCACUGGGCUAGAGCUGCAGGAGGAGGUCAACAUGUGUCUCAGGAAACUGGAGCGUUUAUCCAAACCACAUCCAGUGAUGGUUACAAACCUCUCAUCAACGAGCUGCACUGUAUCAUGGGAAAAGUGUAGACCUGAAAGUGGCCUGGAGGUCAUAUACAGUCUCUUUCACAAGGAUGUCAUGCUGUACCAUGGCCUGUUGUGUCAGGUGACCAUACCUAUUUCUCCCAAGCAAUCUAAGGAGCCCCUUUCCCUACAGCUCAACCUGUCUACACCUGAUGGUGACAUUAGUCCUUUCAGUGAACCUGUGGUUAUUACUCCAGAGCAGCUGGACACGAGACUUAAGCCUCCACGAGAGCUCUGUGUGAUUGGCUCUACAGCUACACAGGUACGCCUGUGCUGGAUAGAACCAGAGGGAGGAGCCAAACCCAAAUCAUACCAGAUCUACUGUAAUGACACACUGGUGAAGACCACUGCUCUGCUGGGGGCUACAGUUGGCUGUUUAUCUCCUGGCACCUCCUAUCAGCUGAGUGUGAGUUCACUUGGUCCAGGGGACACAGAGAGUCCUAGAGCAGUAACUGAGGUGAGGACAGCGGAAGAUCAAGAUCAUGCUCCUUCUGCGGUCACUGUAGUUGUCCUGGGACGACAUGAACUGCAGAUAAACUGGGGAGCUCCAGUCGCUCCUUUGGGGAGACUCUUCAAAUAUGAGCUAAGUCUAAAUGGCUAUCACCUCCAGGGGGCGCUGCCAGAGCAGUCCGGUCACAAAGAAGACAGCACGGGAUGA